UGGGGAAUCUUGCGCAAUGGUCGGAAGACUGACGCAGCGACGCCGCGUGUGGGAGGACGCCUUUCGGGGUGUAAACCACUGUUGCCCGGGACGAACUGGCGGUUUCGACCGCCCUGACGGUACCGGGUGAGGAAGCACCGGCUAACUCCGUGCCAGCAGCCGCGGUAAUACGGAGGGUGCGAGCGUUGUCCGGAAUCAUUGGGCGUAAAGGGCGCGUAGGUGGCCCGGUCAGUCUUUGGUGAAAGCGCGGGGCUCAACCCUGCGUCGGCCAGGGAUACUGCCGCGGCUGGAGCACUGUAGAGGCAGGCGGAAUUCCGGGUGUAGCGGUGGAAAUGCGUAGAGAUCCGGAAGAACACCGGUGGCGAAGGCGGCCUGCUGGGCAGUUGCUGACACUGAGGCGCGACAGCGUGGGGAGCAAAACA
RNAcentral lists this ribosomal RNA (422 nucleotides) under uncultured Gemmatimonas sp. RNAcentral's name for it is "bacterial SSU rRNA". It matches the Rfam family "Bacterial small subunit ribosomal RNA", at positions 355 to 775 of the family's 1533-position model. The record is from RNAcentral. Lineage: Bacteria; Pseudomonadati; Gemmatimonadota; Gemmatimonadia; Gemmatimonadales; Gemmatimonadaceae.